UUCAAUACGUGUCAAGUGUUCGAGUAGUGAGGACGUUGCUCUUGCGUUUCACUAAUUACUGCUUCAACUAUACAUCCAGAUAUUCCUGUCGCUUAGUUUUUUUGUGUUUCAUAAAGUUUGUGACGAUUUUGUAAAACAUAGCUUGCAUACGGGAUACAGGAAAUUACUAUAUAUGAUAUCGAGUGCGGCAGUAUUUAAACUGCGCAUUCAACAAUCAUGUAAAUAUUGAGUAUAGAAUAGUAAAGUAAUUGAACGCGGAUACGUCGAUUAGUCUGAAAUUUAAACCGCACAACCGCAACGUCUUUUGAUCAAGUCAAUCUGAGGAUUCAACGAUUACUCAUCCGACGAGUUGCAGUAUCAGUUAUACCAGGUUUACAGAAGCCCGCGGUUCGAACGCUACGGUCACGUGGAAGCCCCGUCUUAUCGACCGUUGGUUUUGGCCGCGAUGAUUGGCUCAGCUUAAGUCACGUGACACUUGACGUAAGGAACCUGCCGUCUGCUCAGCCGUCGGAGCGAGCGUCUGCCUGUUAUAUCAAGUUGUCACAGAGAACGAGCCAUCGCUGGCCGUCGAGGGAACAAAGGAGGAUCGCCGUUGCUUCAUACGGCGAUACACGACGUCGGAUUCUGGACGAGUUUUUUAAUCGACACACACAGGCAUCGAGCGAACACCCACACAGCAUCAAAAAGACCUUUUUAAAGGUCGCAAAAACAACCCAAUAUGUACAGCAUGAACUACAUUGGAAAGUUCAUCAGCAACUUUAGGGACUUUUACAAUGAAAUAAACGCUGCUACUCUAACGGGUGCCAUUGACGUGGUCGUUGUCGAACAGCCUGAUGGAUCUUUUGCCUGUUCACCUUUUCACGUCAGAUUUGGAAAACUAUGUGUCCUUCGAUCGAGGGAGAAAGUGGUUGAUAUCGAAAUAAAUGGAGAACCACGUCAAAUUCACAUGAAGUUGGGUGAUUCUGGGGAAGCUUUUUUCGUUGAAGAAGUUGGCUGCGGAGGUUCACCAACUGACACAGAAAUUCCACCGCAUCUUGCAUGCUCUCCAAUUCCACACGACAGUUGUUUUCCACAGCAAAGGGAGAGUGGAACUUUGUUUCUCAGGUUCAACCUGCUCUCGGAACUUCCGCAAGAACAACGUGAGAAGCUACUUAGAGAUUCGGUGCUGUCAAUAGAGCGUGAGAAAUGGGAGGAAAUGUCAGCGCUGCCGUCAGACGAGCGUGAGAAAUUUCUUGUAGAACAGUUUUCGGAUCUCCCAAUAGAGCACCGUGAAAAAUGGCUUCAAAUAGCGUCAAUGACUACAGAGGAACGUGACAAAAUAUUUCGCGAAAAUUUCGGUGUUAUAUCUACCGAACAAAAGCAGAAAAUGAUACGCGAGCAAUACUCUGCACUUAAGACUGAGGACAGAGAAAGACUGUUUAAAGAAAAUUUUCCAGAACUGCCGGUAGAGCAAAGACAGAAGUUCGAAUUUGCUUUGCUCAGUGAUUGGAAAGGCAAAGAGGAAGAAAAGUGGGAUGAUAAUCAGAUUGACUCUAAGCACGAUGACGAGGAGAUAUUCAAUAUGGAUAAUAUCAAUGGAGAGGAACCAAACCCUGCCUCGGCUGUAGCACCUGUGAAAACCUUCAACGCUGUUGCUUCUAAUACAAGAAUUCGUAAAAUAAGCAUUGUGCAUAAUGAAUUCCGGCCAAUAACGGAUGAUCCUCAAAGCAGUUCCAAGGAAAAGUCUAGUGAUGAAUCAAACGUUUCUUUAUCCAAGAAAAAUUCCAAGGAUGAAACUAUUGAGGAAACCAAAGGUAGCAAUGGGUCCAAGAGAAAACGCAAGAGGAGAAGCAUUAUGAAGAAGAAAGGAGUGCAAAGAAAAACUAGUAAUGGAAGCAGUAGUCAGACUGAAAUGAGCGAAAAUGACGUCGUAGCUGCCGACGAAUCUCAGAGUGAACCUAUAUUAAAGGGCCCGAGUCCGGUUGUCGAAGUCGAAACCAAUAACGCUUCAGCUGAACCUACGGAAACACACUUGUCAUCCUUGUCGCAAGAAAUUACAGUCCCGCGUCAAGAAUCAGAUUUUCAUUUCUUCAGUGACACAGAAAUCACAAAAAAUCGGGAGUCUCGGCCUCGUUCUCCAGUUCAGUCUGAUACAGAAUUUGAAAUGCGUAAGCUCACUGAAGAUAGAGCUGAAAUUGAGGAUGAGAAGACGCAUCAGCAGAGCUGGAGAUGGGGAGAAUUGCCAAGCCCUCCUCCCGACUCUUCUCUACCAUCGCAUAGGACCUCAUUGAAUACUUCGACAGUAGCCAAUCAGCCUACUGACUUCGACGCCCAUCAAUCGAUUUUGAGUCGUACAUUGGCCUACAUGAAGCGGACCAAUUCUCGCUUUGUACGUAAUCCAGAAUCAGAUGGAAUAUAUUUGAGCGAUCUGAAUGCAGACGAACUUGACCCCGAAGUUGCUGCUCUUUAUUUGCCAACGUCUCAUCACAGGGCAACUAUUGCUAAAGGUGGAAAAAGUCUGGAUGAAGAAGACGCAGAAUCUGGAAAUGGUCCAAGUCUACCUCAGAGUCCAAACAGCGUUGAAGGAGCCAUCGGCGGCCCUAAAUCGCUGGACAGUGAUUUUGAAGAGCCAAAACAUUCCCUAUUCGAUAGCAAUGCUGACGUCACGUUGUCUCUUUGUGGUGGUUUAGAUUCCAAGGAUGGACCAUCUGAGGAAACAUUCCAUCAAAACUUGCUUCACUUUGAAGAUGUCUGUAGUGAUCCAAAACUAUUCGAAAAUCCAAGUUUGGUCAUAAAAAUUAACGGAAAGUUUUAUAACUGGGCUAUGGCCUGUCCCAUCCUCAUGACCUUGGCUGCUUUUCAAAGGCACUUGCCCCAGAGUGCCGUAGAGAAUUUAUGCGCUCGUUACAUGCUGACUCCAGUUCACGAGGACGCGAAACAGCAAAGUGGACGCAAAACUGAGGGUCGUACUGGUUACAGCUCUUGGUUUUCAUGGAGUCGCUCCAGUCAGCCAUCUAAAAAACAAAAGGAUUUAUCAGAAGUUGAUGGCCCAAUAAUCGGCCAAACUCAACAACAGCUUAUUGGAGUUAAAGAAGCUUCCCUGUCGGAGAGUGUGCCAUCAGUUAGCAUCAGAAUAGACCAAAAAGAGGAAGAAAUAAUCGAUAUGCACUUGGGAACUGAGGCCGUAGCUCAGACUAGUUUCCCAAAUACGCCGGAAGAAUCACUCCUUGACAAAGGAGAAAAGACACAUGGUGAGCAAGAGGGAGAAGGUUACAGUGGCAGUGAGGACUCUGACAGCAAUCGCAACGAACCUCAAGGAGUCAAAAUACCAAUAGAAAGAAGACCUUACUAUGAAUCCACCGAGAAAUACAGAAAGACUCUGCGGCUUUCCUCAGAACAAAUUGCCAGUUUGGGUUUGAAGGAUGGUGCAAACGAGGUAGUGUUCAGCGUGACAACCGCUUAUCAGGGUACAACCCGAUGUAGAUGUCACAUUUACAAAUGGCGUUGGGAUGACAAAAUCGUUAUAUCUGACAUAGAUGGUACAAUAACGAAAUCUGACGUGCUAGGGCACAUUCUACCGAUUGUUGGUAAAGACUGGGCGCAAUCAGGUGUUGCUCAGCUAUUCACCAAGAUUAAAAAUAAUGGAUACAAGCUAUUGUAUCUCUCUGCUAGAGCUAUUGGCCAGGCUAGGCUCACCAGAGAAUAUUUGAAGAGUAUAAAACAGGGAGAUUUGUCUCUGCCUGAAGGACCUUUGCUACUUAAUCCUACGAGCUUGCUAUCAGCAUUUCAUCGAGAAGUUAUCGAGAAAAAACCAGAACAGUUUAAAAUAUCUUGCCUCAGCGAUAUUCAAGCCUUGUUUCCAGAAGACACCAAGCCUUUCUAUGCUGGAUAUGGAAAUCGUAUAAACGAUGUUUGGGCAUACAGAGCAGUGGGCAUUCCCAUAGUAAGAAUAUUCACGAUCAAUCAUCGCGGAGAAUUGAAGCACGAGCUGACGCAGACAUUCCAAUCCUCUUACACGUGUCAGAGCGGAGUGGUCAAUGACUUGUUCCCGCCAUUGCAAUACCACUGCACUUCUACAGAUGACAACGCUACGAUAGAUAGUUAAUCAAUAAAAAAGUCCUUCACAAGUCAAUGAAUCCUAGUCAAAUUUUGCGACGACUUUAUCAACUUGCCUUAUUAUUUGUCAAAAUAAUGUAAUCAAUAGUGGUCGUUUUACGAAUUUUCCCAGUAUAUACUAAAAUCCAGCUCAGCUAGUCUUUCGUACAAAAUGAUAUUACAUGCCUAUGCUGGAGUAGACUUCAGCCUGGUACUGAUAUCGAAUCAGAUCAAAAGUAUAUGCACAGUAUAGAUGUACAUACAUACAUAGAGGUUUACAAAUGCUUGAGAAUGUACAAAGAGAAGUUAAUCAAAUUUUGGUUUUAGUAGUAUUAUCAUGCCAGUUUCAUUAUCAUUUUCUUAGUUACAUUUAGUAAUUACAUUAUAUGUAUAUUUCAUCAUACAAGUUUUGGUAGCUGUUUACCGCAAGGCAACUUCUAAAAUAUGAUCUUUUCGAUCCCUCAAUUUUUUAAAGAAAAGAUGUAUUUUUAUAUCGUGACAGCUGGACUGUUGACCAUAUAUUUUUUAUAAUAUUUUUUAUUUAUUGUCGAAAACCGAUGACGUAUUUGGUUGUACAUCUGCUUGCUACUUCUCUACUUAUGAUGUAUAGGAUACUCGAACAUGAGCUAUAUUGUAGAUCAUCUAUUUCCCCCCCUGCCUGAAGAUGCAACUGACGAAUUUAGCAAUUUUGCUUACUGGCGAGAGCCAAUUCCUGAGUUGCCGGAUCUAGAAGUACUAAGCACUGAGAC
RNAcentral lists this unclassified non-coding RNA (4823 nucleotides) under Neodiprion pinetum (white pine sawfly). RNAcentral's name for it is "phosphatidate phosphatase LPIN2, transcript variant X1". Lineage: Eukaryota; Metazoa; Arthropoda; Insecta; Hymenoptera; Diprionidae. The record is from RNAcentral.